UACGUAGGGUGCGAGCGUUGUCCGGAAUUACUGGGCGUAAAGAGCUCGUAGGUGGUUUGUCGCGUUGUCCGUGAAAACUCACAGCUCAACUGUGGGCGUGCGGGCGAUACGGGCAGACUGGAGUACUGCAGGGGAGACUGGAAUUCCUGGUGUAGCGGUGGAAUGCGCAGAUAUCAGGAGGAACACCGGUGGCGAAGGCGGAUCUCUGGGCCAUUACUGACGCUGAGGAGCGAAAGCAUGGGGAGCGAACAGG
This 253-nucleotide ribosomal RNA is filed under the name uncultured bacterium. RNAcentral's name for it is "partial 16S ribosomal RNA". It matches the Rfam family "Bacterial small subunit ribosomal RNA", at positions 524 to 776 of the family's 1533-position model. The record is from RNAcentral.